CCCCACCCCUCCUUAGUGAA
RNAcentral lists this transfer RNA (20 nucleotides) under Tyto multipunctata (Lesser sooty-owl). RNAcentral describes it as "partial tRNA-Lys". RNAcentral also lists the same sequence under 2 other names. Lineage: Eukaryota; Metazoa; Chordata; Aves; Strigiformes; Tytonidae. The record is from RNAcentral.